Molecule: long non-coding RNA, 1175 nt
Organism: Harpia harpyja (harpy eagle)
Lineage: Eukaryota; Metazoa; Chordata; Aves; Accipitriformes; Accipitridae
Exons: 3
Source: RefSeq, a predicted model, not a curated record
UAGUUGUUGAUUUGUUGCUGCUAUACAAUAUUUGGUUAAUUGUGGAAGAUCUCAAGCUGUGCUCAUCACUGCUCCUGCGAAGGCUGCUGCCAGCUGCUAGAAGCAGAGCCUGCUGCUACAGGAUGUACACUAUUCACAGGAGCAGCCUCUCAGCGCUGAUUAUCACUGAAGAGUUCCCCGCUCUCCAUCACUCCGCGCCCUGCACGCAACCGGACUGCCGAGCACGGGGAGGUAGGCUGCCUGCCCUCGCUCCAGGCCACUGCUUACAAAGUAUCCACAAUAAAUCCAAACAGUGGGAUGGAGACAGAGAUUGACUAAGUGAAACCUGCCCUAAGUGUGCACCCAAGAGAUCAACAGAAAUCAAUUUGCCUUGCAGAGGUGCCUCCUGCUUCAGAAAGCUCUUCACUGCCAUGGACCUCCCAGGGAAGCCUGUGUACAUGUUUUUGUUUGACUUUGGUGGCUACUGUAGCUAUUAUUUAUUAAUCAGCUUUUUGGGUGAGGAACCAGCCGGGAGCUCACACGCCGAGGUCCUGGUCCACGCACGGAGCUCCCGGACACGGUGCCAGCCCAUGUAUUAUGAAUUACAUGGCAGCAACAAAUUCUCUUCUUCGCCAGCCGUGUCGGCUGUCCAGGUCCUUGCCUGCCAUAAGGAUGAAGAACUGUCAGGUUCCAACUCCAAAAAUCCUUCCUGCUCCCUCCUCUGCGCUGCAGCCCAUGCUGGCCUAGUUUUGAAGCAUGCUGGAUAAUGGAUGUGAGCAGCUAAAAUUUCCUUCCUGUGUAAGAUAACGUGCCCUUUCUAAUAUUAAUUUCCAGAGGUCCCCAAGCUCUUUAGCAAUUUAAUAAAUCCAGGUGGGCACUUAAAAAUAGUGAGUAUUGACAGGCCCUCUGAUAAUAACAAAUACGUGAAAACGGCUGUUGGUUAAAAUUUUGCUGAGAAACUAUUUUUGUCCUUGGGCAACAUUUUGUUACUCUGCUUGCAUGCCUCGGUGUGUUUCCUACUGAGCUGGCUAUAUAGUUUUAUAGAUAUAACAAUACAUACGCACGCAUGCAUUAUCUAUAUAUCUCUUGUUUGCUAAACCUGAAGUAAUUUUUGUAAUUAUACACAUAAUGUAUUUUACCCAAAUACACAAAGAAGAUUUUUUUUUUUUAAAUGCCACUUAGGAUCUAGAUUUAAC